This 535-nucleotide ribosomal RNA is filed under the name Kyklioacalles euphorbiophilus. RNAcentral's name for it is "partial 16S ribosomal RNA". It matches the Rfam family "Bacterial large subunit ribosomal RNA", at positions 1819 to 2625 of the family's 2925-position model. The record is from RNAcentral. Lineage: Eukaryota; Metazoa; Arthropoda; Insecta; Coleoptera; Curculionidae.
GGCCUUUUGUUUAUGAUUUAAGGUCUUGCCUGCCCAAUGAUGUAAAAAUUAAAUGGCCGCAGUAUACUGACUGUGCAAAGGUAGCAUAAUCAUUAGUUUUUUAAUUGAAAGCUUGUAUGAAAGGUUUGAUGAGAAAAUUACUGUCUCUAUUUAAAUUUUUAGAAAUUUAUUUUUAAGUAAGAAAGCUUAAAUUUUUAUUGAAGACGAGAAGACCCUAUAGAGUUUGAUUUAUAUAAUAAUAAAUAGAAUUUAGUAUUUAAAAUUUUAUUAUUAUAUAAAUUUAGUUGGGGUGAUUGAAAAAUUUAUAUAACUUUUUUUUUAUUUUUACAUUGAUUUAUGAGUAUUUGAUCCUUUAAAAGAUUAUAAGAUAAAAUUACCUUAGGGAUAACAGCGUAAUUUUUCUUAGAGUUCUUAUCGAAAGAAGAGAUUGCGACCUCGAUGUUGGAUUAAAAUUAAAUUUUUGGUGUAGAAGCUAAAAAAUUAGGUCUGUUCGACCUUUAAAUUUUUACAUGAUCUGAGUUUAAACCGGCGUAAG